Molecule: ribosomal RNA, 245 nt
Filed under: uncultured cyanobacterium
Lineage: Bacteria; Bacillati; Cyanobacteriota
Description: partial 16S ribosomal RNA
Rfam family: Bacterial small subunit ribosomal RNA
Source: RNAcentral
AGUUCAGAUCGUAGGCUGCAACUCGCCUACGUGAAGGAGGAAUCGCUAGUAAUCGCAGGUCAGCAUACUGCGGUGAAUACGUUCCCGGGCCUUGUACACACCGCCCGUCACACCAUGGAAGUUGGCCACGCCCGAAGUCGUUACUCCAACCCUCUGGGAGGAGGACGCCGAAGGUGGGGCUGAUGACUGGGGUGAAGUCGUAACAAGGUAGCCGUACCGGAAGGUGCGGCUGGAUCACCUCCUAA